RNAcentral lists this long non-coding RNA (1094 nucleotides) under Anas platyrhynchos platyrhynchos (common mallard). RNAcentral describes it as "lncRNA (ENSAPLG00000026641.1)". Lineage: Eukaryota; Metazoa; Chordata; Aves; Anseriformes; Anatidae. The record is from RNAcentral.
CUCCCAUUCACCCCCCAGUAACCCCCCAUUAACCCCCUAUCUCCCCAUUAGGCCGCCGGUAGGCAUGGAGAAAGAUCGAGGCGAGGACCUUGGCGGCGGUGGCGUCAGCAUCAGCAGCACCGGCGGCGUCACCGGCACCGGUGUCGGCGGCCGCGAGGCCAAACCGCGCUCGCUGCGCUUCACGUGGAGCAUGAAGACGACGAGCGCCCUGGAACCGGGCGAGAUGAUGCGGGAGAUCCGCAAGGUGCUGGACGCCAACAGCUGCCGCUGCGAGCUGCAGGAACGCUUCGUCCUCCUGUGCGCCCACGGCUCCCCCGGCCACGAAUCCUUCGUGCAGUGGGAGAUGGAGGUGUGCAAGCUGCCGCGCCUCUCGCUCAACGGCGUCCGCUUCAAGCGCAUCGCCGGCACCUCCAUGGCCUUCAAGAACAUUGCCUCCAAGGUGGCCAACGAGCUCAAGCUCUGAGCGCGAACCCCCCCCCGUGUCCCCCCCCUCCAUGUUCACCUCCAGGGGGGGCUUCUCCUCAAAACGGGGGGUGUGGACCCAGCAACUAUUGGACUCCCCCCACCCCAGUCCCUCCGGUCCCCGUUGUGCUCCCUGCGGGGUUGGUACUGGGAUGGGACCUGGUGUAGGUGCCCCCCCUGCCCCCCCAGGACCCUGUGGGGUCGGUGUUGGGAUGGGACCUGUUGUAGGUGCCCCCCCUCUGCACCCCCUCGCUCCUCAGGACCUGUGGGGUCGCGGGACAGGAUGUGGAGACGGCCCUAAAGGAGUUGGGGGGGGCACCCCAAAUUUGUGGGGUCGACUCCAGAGCUGUGGGGACAAAGUGGGGCCUGCAGGGAGUUGGGAACGGCCCCAACACCCCAAAAUCUCUGGGGCUGUCUCUAGGGACAGGGGGGGAUGUCCCCAGGUCUUGUAGGGUCAAGGUGGCCCCAAAACCUCUGGGGACAGGGAUGUCCCCAAGCCCUUUGGGGUCAGGCUGGGACCUGUGGGGUCAUCCCAGAGCCUUAUGGGGACGCCCGGGGUGUCCCCAGGGGAUGUCCCGGGGGUCCCCAGGUCCCCAAGGGACACGGGGUGGCCUUGGGGUCCCUAUGGGGAC